CCUCUGCAUUUCCAUCAACUGCAUCUAAGUAAGUCUGCCAUAAAGAAUGAAGUCGGCUCCUGCUACUCCUACUUAUGCUUUCACAGAGCAAUUUGUACGGGGCUGYCGAGCUCUCCUCUCAUGAGCGACAGGAAGAAGCAGUGCCUCUCAUAAGAGGAAACCUCUCCGCUAACUGCUGGAUCCGAGCUUGCCGUUUCCCAUUAUAAGGAUGAAGCAAACCAGGAGCUUGCUAAUGGCUGYGGGACGUGUAAUUCUGUUCCUUGCACAAGGAAAGCGUCGCAAUCUCUGCCUUCCAGUGGGAGUCGAUGGCCAACAGGAAAGAAGCAAAUUCAACAGUCAAGUGGCAUUACCUGUGAAUCUCUGCUACAGUAACAGUUU
Molecule: long non-coding RNA, 378 nt
Organism: Nothoprocta perdicaria
Lineage: Eukaryota; Metazoa; Chordata; Aves; Tinamiformes; Tinamidae
Exons: 2
Source: RefSeq, a predicted model, not a curated record